This 470-nucleotide long non-coding RNA is filed under the name Marmota monax (woodchuck). The record is from RNAcentral. Lineage: Eukaryota; Metazoa; Chordata; Mammalia; Rodentia; Sciuridae.
CUCAGGAGUCAAGUGCCCUUGAGUUCAAUCCCCAGUACCCUCCCCUCCAAAAAAAAAAAAAAAAAGAAAAACUAAUAAGUGCUGUGGAGGAUGUAGGGAAAAAGGAACAUGUAUACACUAUUGCUGAGAACGUAAAUUAGUAUAAUUACUGGAAAUAACUAUGGAAGUUCCUCCAAAAGCUAAAAAUAGAACUACCAUAUGAUCCAGUGAGACCACUCCUUGGUAUAGAUCUGAAGGAAUGAAAGUAGCAUACUAUGAAAAUACCCCGAAUACACAUAUCUAUUGAGGCACAAUUCAUAAUAGCCAAGUUAGGAGAUCAGCCUACGUGCUCCAAAACAGAUGAAUGGAUGAAGAAAAUGUGCUGUAAAUACACAAUGGAGCAUUAUUCAACCAUAACAAGUCCAAAAUCCUGUCAUUUACUGGAAAAUGAAUGGAACUGGAGAUCAUUGUGUUAAGCAAAAUAAACCAGA